Molecule: ribosomal RNA, 248 nt
Filed under: uncultured bacterium
Lineage: Bacteria
Description: partial 16S ribosomal RNA
Rfam family: Bacterial small subunit ribosomal RNA
Source: RNAcentral
ACGUAGGGGGCAAGCGUUAUCCGGAUUUACUGGGUGUAAAGGGAGCGUAGACGGCUGUGCAAGUCUGAAGUGAAAUGCCGGGGCUCAACCCCGGAACUGCUUUGGAAACUGUACAGCUAGAGUGCAGGAGGGGUGAGCGGAAUUCCUAGUGUAGCGGUGAAAUGCGUAGAUAUUAGGAGGAACACCGGUGGCGAAGGCGGCUCACUGGACUGUAACUGACGUUGAGGCUCGAAAGCGUGGGGAGCAAA